AACGAACGCUGGCGGCAUGCCUAACACAUGCAAGUCGAACGAUACCUUCGGGUCUUUUCUCUUCUUGGUGCGUUUCGCGUCGGAACCUUCCCUCAUGUUCGGCCUACCUUCCCGCAAGGGGUGCUAAUUCCGGAUAAUAUCUACUGACCAAAGAUUUAUCGGGUCUGAUUGGGCUCGUGUUGGAUUAGCUAUUUGUUAGGUUAAAAGCCUACCUAGGGGAAGAUGCCUAGCUGGUCUGAGAGGAUGAUCAGGCACACUGGGACAGUGACACGGCGCAGACGCCUACGGAAGGGAGCAAUGGGGAAUAAUGAACAACGGGCGAAAGACUAAGCCAGCAAGGCCGCGUGAGUGAUGAAGGAGUUAGGGUUGUAAAGCUCUUUUACCAGGGAUGAUAAUGACAGUACCGGGAGAAUAAGCGCCGGCUAACUACGUG
Molecule: ribosomal RNA, 433 nt
Filed under: uncultured bacterium
Lineage: Bacteria
Description: partial 16S ribosomal RNA
Rfam family: Bacterial small subunit ribosomal RNA
Source: RNAcentral